This 63-nucleotide transfer RNA is filed under the name Fukomys damarensis (Damara mole-rat). It matches the Rfam family "tRNA", at positions 5 to 66 of the family's 71-position model. Rfam says of the family: Transfer RNA (tRNA) molecules are approximately 80 nucleotides in length. Lineage: Eukaryota; Metazoa; Chordata; Mammalia; Rodentia; Bathyergidae. The record is from Rfam by way of RNAcentral.
GUGUAGCUCAGUGGUAGAGCACUUGCCUAGCAUGUGCAAGGCCCUGGGUUCAAUUCCUAGCAC